AUUGAACGCUGGCGGCAGGCUUAACACAUGCAAGUCGAGCGGAGUGAUGGUGCUUGCACUAUCACUUAGCGGCGGACGGGUGAGUAAUGCUUAGGAAUCUGCCUAUUAGUGGGGGACAACAUCUCGAAAGGGAUGCUAAUACCGCAUACGUCCUACGGGAGAAAGCAGGGGAUCUUUAUGACCUUGCGCUAAUAGAUGAGCCUAAGUCGGAUUAGCUAGUUGGUGGGGUAAAGGCCUACCAAGGCGACGAUCUGUAGCGGGUCUGAGAGGAUGAUCCGCCACACUGGGACUGAGACACGGCCCAGACUCCUACGGGAGGCAGCAGUGGGGAAUAUUGGACAAUGGGGGGAACCCUGAUCCAGCCAUGCCGCGUGUGUGAAGAAGGCCUUAUGGUUGUAAAGCACUUUAAGCGAGGAGGAGGCUCUUUUGGUUAAUACCCAAGAUGAGUGGACGUUACUCGCAGAAUAAGCACCGGCUAACUCUGUGCCAGCCGCCGCCGUAA
Molecule: ribosomal RNA, 502 nt
Filed under: uncultured bacterium
Lineage: Bacteria
Description: partial 16S ribosomal RNA
Rfam family: Bacterial small subunit ribosomal RNA
Source: RNAcentral